Ictidomys tridecemlineatus (thirteen-lined ground squirrel) is the source of this 2036-nucleotide long non-coding RNA. RefSeq lists it as uncharacterized. Lineage: Eukaryota; Metazoa; Chordata; Mammalia; Rodentia; Sciuridae. The record is from RefSeq and is a predicted model, not a curated record.
AGGACGCCUACCUCUCCUCUCCGCUCUGAGGAGGGUGGGCAGAUGGGCUGGGAGGGUGGCACAUGCAUUCGCCUGCACGGCUCUGUUUGGGCCAGUGCUUCUCAAACUUCAAUGCCGAUGCUGGCACCCGGCCUGGAUGCAGACCUGGCUCUCUGGGGGUGCCGCACUGUGGCCUGGACCAGGCACUGGUCAGCACAGGUUUGGAGCCAGAAGUGUCUCCAAAUACGCAGGAGCCGUGGAACACCAGGCGCCCUUCAGGAGGUGGGACAGGCCAGACCUGGUGCAGGCGCCACCCCGUUCCUGCUGCUGAUGCCCCUGGCAGGAAGGGAAGGGCUUGGGUCCCUUGUCCUGCUGCAGUUGGUCAGGGGAGCUGGCUGAACUUCAGGACUGGCCAGGGCGUUCUGCUGACCGACAGGCGUUGGUCAGGAGAUCCUGCUGAUUGACAGGUGUUUCCGUGGGUGCCUGCUUGAUGUCCCUUUCCCGGGCGGGCUGCUUUGUUCUAAGUCACCACCACCGACCUGUCAGGUAGCAUGUCUGUGUUCAAGGGCUGCGGGUGGGAGAGACGGUGUUCCCAGGACUCGGGGAAUCCACACAAAGCCUGCAGCGUCCGCUGCCUCUGGGGAGCAGAACCAGGCGUGGAGGAGAUAUUCCCUUUUUCUGAUUUCUUCUUUCAGGCUUUGGAGACUGUACCCAUUUGUGGGCCAGGAAGGAGAUGCCCUGUUUUGGGCCAUGGGUGUAGGGGCUAGUUUGGAGGCCAUGGAGUGCACAGAGGGCCAGGGGCCAGGAGGCUCCUUAAAACAGACCUCGUGGGUGGGGGUGGGGGGCUGGGCUGUGGCUCGGUGGUGGAGGGCUCACCUAGCACGCGGGAGGCGCUGGGUUCGGAGCACCACAUAAAAAUAAACAAAUAAAAUUAUGUACUGUGUCCAACUACAACUAAACAACAACAACAACAAUAAAAACAGAAACAACAACAAAGAAACCAGGCGGUAGAUGCCACUCAGGGCCUGUGGGUGGGAGGUCUGGGCACAGGUGUCUGGGUUUAACGAGCUCCCAGGGGCCUUGACUGAGCCAGGAGCCGGAGGACCCUGAGGAGGACACUCCUCCGCCUCCCCCGUGGCAGGUGGGGCUCACCUGCCCACCUCCCUCAGGGCUAGGGGAGGGGAGCAGGGAGUGGGGCUGGGGCACCUGCAGCCCCAUGCUGGGCCCCACCCCAGCCGCUCACAGCUCAGCUCUGGAUACGGACCCCAUUCCUUCUCCUUCCGGGGGCCAUAACUGCAGUCCCAGGGCUUGGCAUUCCCGGAGCCUGCCCCCUCUCAGCUCUGGGGCCAGCUCAGAGCAAAGCGUGGGCAGCUGGAGUCCCCCGAGGCCCCUGUCCUCGAGAGCAGACGGUCUUGCCUGGGACUCCGCGUCAUCUCCCCUGUGUCUGAUCUUUUAUGAGGAGCCAGUCCUACAGGGUAGGGCCCACCCCCACUCGGUGACCCUUUUCCCAGACAGCCUUGUCCCGAGGUGCUGGUUGCAGGGGACAGGAUUUAGCCCAGAGACUGGAUACAAAGUCCCCUCCUGGGUGCCGAUGGUGCGUGAUUUGUGGUUACUAAGAAUGUGUCUUUUCUUUUCUUUCUGUUUUUCUUUCCAUGGCUCCUGCAUGCCGAGGCUGCAGGCCAGGCCCAGCUGCUCCACACAGACUCCAAGAGCUAAGGGUGUCCAGGCUGCCCACGUGGCCUUGUCUUGUUGGCCUGCUUGUCUGCAGGUUCAAAACUUCAGGUCAAACUUUUUAAACAGCCCUCCAGGGGCCAUCUCACCAGGGCCACUGUGUGUCUGUGCUGUGCUGCAGCCGGGCCUCGCCUCGCUGGUUCAAUAAACCCUGCCAGGCCCCCCACCUGGCAGGGCCAUAGACACCCCUCUCCAUGUCCUGCGUGUGGACUACACAGGACACCUCUGCUCCCUCUACAAGGACACGGUCUCCUUCUUCUGUGUUCCUGACCUUUAGACUGAAGCUCAGCACAUAGUAGGUACUCAAUAAAUGCAUUGAAUGCACA